Propithecus coquereli (Coquerel's sifaka) is the source of this 956-nucleotide RNA transcript. It is a transcript of the gene named ribosome biogenesis protein NSA2 homolog pseudogene, with no coding region annotated. The transcript has a single exon. Lineage: Eukaryota; Metazoa; Chordata; Mammalia; Primates; Indriidae. The record is from RefSeq and is a predicted model, not a curated record.
AUGCCACAAAAUGAACAUAUUGAAUUACACCGUAAAUGCUAAAUGUAUCGUUUGGAUUACCAUGAGAAAAAGAGAAAAAAGGAAAGUCGAGAGGCUCAUGAAUGAUUGAAGAAAGCAAAGAAGAUGAUUGGUCUGAAGGCUAAGCUCUACGAUAAGCAGCGCCAUGCUGAGAAAAUACAAAUGAAAAAGACUAUCAAGAUGCAUGGAAAGAGAAACACCAAACAAAAGAAUGAUGAAAAGACUCCACAGGGAGCAGUACCUGCCUAUCUUCUGGACAGAGAGGGACAGUCCUGAGCCAAAGUACUUUCCAAUAUGAUUAAACAAAAACGGAAAGAGAAAGCGGGAAAAUGGGAAGUCCCUCUGCCCAAAGUUCGUGCCCAGGGAGAAACAGAAGUAUUAAAAGUUAUUCGAACAGGAAAGAGAAAGAAAAAGGCAUGGAGGAGGAUGGUUACUAAAGUCUGCUUUGUUGGAGAUGGCUUUACAAGAAAACCACCUAAAUAUGAAAGAUUCAUUAGGCCAAUGGGCUUACGUUUCAAGAAGGCCCAUGUAACACAUCCUGAACUGAAAGCUACCUUUUGCCUACCAAUACUUGGUGUAAAGAAGAAUCCCUCAUCCCCAUUACAUACAACUUUGGGUGUUAUUACUAAAGGUACUGUGAUUGAGGUCAACGUGAGCGAGUUGGGCCUUGUGACACACGAGGGCAAGGUUAUCUGGGGGAAAUACGCCCAGGUUACCAACAAUCCUGAAAACGAUGGAUGUAUAAAUGCAGUCUUACUGGUUUGAUAGCAGUUUCAUACAAGUAACUUCUUAUUGAAGACUACAUACCAGUUGGGAAAACCACCAUUACUGUGAUGUUUCUGAAUGCCACCAAAUAGCCUUCCAUGUCUGCAGUCAUCAAAAGAACUAUUCAUUUAAUUGUAUAAAACAUUAAAAUGUCAAGUUAAAAAAAAAAAAAA